This is a long non-coding RNA of Eriocheir sinensis (Chinese mitten crab), 1887 nucleotides long. RefSeq lists it as uncharacterized. The transcript has 2 exons. The record is from RefSeq and is a predicted model, not a curated record. Lineage: Eukaryota; Metazoa; Arthropoda; Malacostraca; Decapoda; Varunidae.
GAGAGAGAGAGAGAGAGAGAAUACAUUAAAUAAAAGAGUAAAAAGUAUAUUGAGACGUAGGAAUUUAAACAUGUUGAACUUUGAGGGAAUAUUUUUGUUUUGUUCCGAGAGAAGAAAAUAGAAAAAAAAACAUCUAUAUCUGAGAACAAAAAAUGAUAAAGAAAACGAGUAAAAUUUAAGUAAAAAAGAAAAAAUAAUGCUAAUGAAGCUAAAUAUAAGAGCUGUAUAGUUUCUUUAACAUAUAAAAAGUAAAGUUGCUGAAAAAAAAGAAAAUUAGAAAAAUCAAAACAAGAUACAAAAGAAGAGAAACAAGACACAAAAGGAAAUUGGAAAAAAGAUUAAAUAAAAAGAAAAGAAGAAAAAGGGAAAGAAGAAACAAAAAAGUUCGCGAAUAUAAUGAAAGUGGAGAAAGAAAAAAUAGAGAAAACAAAAAAAGAAUGAAAAGAAAGAAAAAGAAAAGAUGGAAAGAACGAGCGGAGAAAAGACAUGAAUCAGCCAAACAGAAAGAAAGACAAGGAAAAAAAGCAAAAAAAGAAACGAAACAAAAAGAGAGAAAAGAAGAUGAAAGACGAAAAAAAUCAGUCUCUUUCCUUAAACUCACUCACUUGACCGUUUAGAGGAGAGAAGUGAGUGAGGGAAAGGCCAGCAGAAGGAGAGGAGUCAGCCAAUAAGGUUAAAUAAUAUGUGUGAGAGUAAACCAGUGAAAUAUAACUUGGAGGAACUGAUGAAAUUGUGCAAAUAAAAGUGAGGAACAGAAUAUGUGAGGGAAAGUGAUAUGAUAAAUAUGGACGUGUAAAAGACGACGAAAAAAAGGAGGGAGUAUGUGAGGAGAACCGUCAAAUAAGAACUGGAAGAACUGAUAAUCUGAUAAACUAAGGACAUAAAAGAAAGGGAAGGAACGUGAGUGUGUGAAAAGGAUGAAAUGAGAACGGGGAAAACGGAUAUUCUGGACAAAUAAUAAAGAAACAAAAGAGCGAAUGUGAAUAAAAGAGUGGAAUGGGAACUUGAAGAGCUGACAAACUGUAAAAGAUAACUGUAAAACAAAACGUAAAACCGAAACAAAAAAGUGAAAAAUAAAACAUGAGAAAUGAAACCUUGAAAAACUAACAAACCGGUCACGCAAAAGAAGAAAGAGUAAGUGUUUGUGAAAAAAAGAAAACGUUAAUCUGAAAAUAUAUAUCGUAGUGAUUGGGGAGAUUAAAUCGAAUAGUAUGAAGGAGGAUAAAUCAAAAUGGUAAAGAGGAAGACUAAGAAAAAGGGAAGGAAACGAGGAAUAGAGUAAAUGGGAGAACGUGGCUGUGGAAGAAGAUGAAGAUAAUGAUGAAGACGAAAAGGAAGUACGAGAAGAAGAAAAGACACGAACAUGAAAAUAAAUAUAUGAGGUUUAAAAACAGAGAAAUAAGCCGAUGAAGUGUGAAACAUGUAUAUAGUCUAAGGAAGAAAAGAAAGGAAAAAUAAUAAAGAAAAACUCCAGAAAAAAUUGUUAUAUUAAGAAGAGAGAAAAAACUUGCAUGUGUCUUAGUGUUUGAGAAAAAGAAAAACAAAAACAAAAUGAAUGAAACAUGUAUAUAGUCUAAGGAAGAAAGAAAGAAAGGAAAAAUAAUCAAGAAAAAAUCAAGAAAAAAUUGUUAUAUUAAGAAGAGAGAAAAAAACUUGUAUGUAUCUUAGUGUUUAAGAAAAAGAAAAACAAAAACAAAAUGAAUGAAACAUGUAUAUAAUCUGAGGAAAAGGAAGGAAUAGAAAGGAAAACUAUAAAGAAAUAUCCACUAAAAUUAUUAUAUUUAGAAAAAACAAACAGCUUAUCAGUGUCUUAGUGUAUGAAAGAAAGAAAAACAAAACGAACAAAAACAAAAACAAAAAAACAACAGAAAUGGGCUCUCUAAAAAC